AACGCACAUUGCGCCCUGUGGUAUUCCGCAGGGCACGCCUGUUCGAGCGUCAUUUAACCCCCUCAAGCUCUGCUUGGUGUUGGGCGUUUGUCUUGCCGUUUGGCCUAGACUCGCCUUGAAAAUAUUGGCAGCCACCUCCCUAGCCUUGGACGCAGCACUCUUGCGCCUAGUACAUGGGGGAUGUUGUUUCCCAAAAGCCCAUUUUUAAGUUGACCUCGGAUCAGGUAGGGAUACCCGCUGAACUUAA
RNAcentral lists this unclassified non-coding RNA (247 nucleotides) under uncultured fungus. RNAcentral's name for it is "partial contains 5.8S ribosomal RNA, internal transcribed spacer 2, and large subunit ribosomal RNA". The record is from RNAcentral. Lineage: Eukaryota; Fungi.